This 270-nucleotide long non-coding RNA is filed under the name Ananas comosus (pineapple). RNAcentral describes it as "long non-coding RNA (ACOM_LNC008808)". Lineage: Eukaryota; Viridiplantae; Streptophyta; Magnoliopsida; Poales; Bromeliaceae. The record is from RNAcentral.
AAAAAACCCACGGGACCAACACGCGAAAAAAUAAUUCACUAAGAGAAAAGAUUACGAGGUGAUUACCGACUCCACGGACUCGACCUAUCUUAACCUCCUAUGAAUCUCGCGCAAUCCUCCGGGUUGUCCAUGCCCUCACGUUCGAAUCCACGAACACGACGUUCCGAAUCCACGAAACGCCUCCACUCCGAAUCCACGAAGCUCACGAUCCGAAUCCACGAACCGUCGUCAAUCACGCCGAAUCCACGACGCCGUCAUAAAGAACAUCAU